Molecule: long non-coding RNA, 582 nt
Organism: Actinia tenebrosa (Australian red waratah sea anemone)
Lineage: Eukaryota; Metazoa; Cnidaria; Anthozoa; Actiniaria; Actiniidae
Source: RefSeq, a predicted model, not a curated record
CAGACUCUGACAUUUUCUGAAGUAGACAGACCAGCAUUGAAGUCGUGUUAAAUAUUUUAGGAUUUGCUUGUAAAACAUGUUUCAGAUUCCUGGGUCAGCUCAAUCACCUAGCAAAGCUAGUAUAGAAGAAGAAAAGAAGGUCGCGAAGAAAGCCGUAUGGACGACUGUUGAAGUGUUUGUGGCAUAUGUAGCUAUUCUACGAAUUGCACCAUAUGUUUAUGAUAUGAUAGCAUAAGGAAUACUUGAUUUGUCUGUGCUCGAUGGCAACAUGCUGUACUCCCUAAGAUGAUACUUUACUGUACAUACAUGGAUGGAUAUAUCUACUGUUUAUAAAUGGACAUUGUGAUGUGCUUAUAUAUGGCUUGUGGAAUAAGCUUUUCUGCAUUUUUCUUUACCUGGUUUUGACUUGGUUCUGUCAAACAUUUAUACUAGUAAAUGAUAGAAAGUUCUUGAUUUAUAUUAAUAUUAUCUUGAAUGUACUGUGCAUUUCUUUCUAUGUAUUCUUCUAUAUGGUCUUCUAUAUUCUGGAUGUUAAUCAGGCUCGAAGGAAAUAAUUUCAUUAAAAAAUGAUACUAAGCAUCA